RNAcentral lists this long non-coding RNA (2005 nucleotides) under Aquilegia coerulea. RNAcentral's name for it is "long non-coding RNA (ACOE_LNC000767)". Lineage: Eukaryota; Viridiplantae; Streptophyta; Magnoliopsida; Ranunculales; Ranunculaceae. The record is from RNAcentral.
AUAAAUAACAGUAGUAGAGAUAGAAAGAAAUAAUUAAUAAAUCUGAAGCGGGUUUAAACAGGUCAACCCGAACUCGACCUGUUUAAUUAGCGGGUCAGGUUCGGGUUUAGGAAAAAAACUAAAUAGGUUAACAGAUCAGAUUUAGGAAAAAAACACAUCAAGCCGUUAAGACCCGACACGAACCUGACACGACCCGACCCGAUUGCCACCCCUAGUCCCAUUACACCCCCAUCCCCUGUAAGAUCCAUUGCCACUUGUUGGUCCAUUCCCCAAAUUUUCAAAUUAAAGCUGACUUUAUAGUACAACAGGAGCAGACCCAUGUGACUUCACAAGACCUUAAGCCACGUCAUCAUCUUCUUCUCCAAACACAGCAAACUCCGGUGCGACUUCCGGCAGAGACCCCUUCUCCAUUGCUUCCAGUCCUUCCUUUUUUCACCUUAAAGAAAAGCUCCAAAGUCCCCCCUGCUUGUAAGAUGGAAGCUCAGACCAACUUAGAUCGUUGAAAACCAACAACACCCUGCUCACCGACGCCUACACCACCCGAAAACCGGCUUAAUUUCAACCCAAAAAUCUAUUCCCCCUUUAACAUCCACCCCCAUCUACACCAUCACUACCAACUAGGUUGUGUGCAGCCCCACUACCAUGACUGAAACCGGCACUCGGUUGUUUACAUUUAUUUUGUGACAUUGGAUGUCCAUGGUUAUCUCGCCUUGAGUUCAUUGUUAAGAAAACCUCGUUGUAUUCGCGUCAUCCCGAGUCUUUGUCUUCGCGUCUAGUGUAUCAAAAGUGUGUUUUUGGUUUAGGACGUACGUACGUCCCACAGGUCAGCAAACUUUCAAUCGUGUUGAACGUACGUACCGAGUUAGGGCGUACGUAUGUUAGGUUAGGCAGCAGGAAAGUUUUUGUUCAGGACGUACGUAUCUAGUUAGAGCGUUCGUACGUCCAAGCAGUCAGCAAAUGUUUGUCGUAUGGGGACGUACGAACGGUGUUUCGACGUACGUACGUCCAAUAUGGAUUUUGUUAAAUUCCGGCCCAUUUCUUGUGUACUCCAACCCUAAGUAUAAAUAGGGUUUCUCUUCCAAAGAAUGAGUUAGUUCUUUGGCCGUCUAUUCCUUGGAGUUUUGUUUAGGUUUUGUGUUGAAAUUGUUUUGGUUAAUGAACUCAAUUCUCUUUCUUCCUAAUUCAUCAAUUCCUUAUCUUCCGUAUACAGUUGUGAAUUCGGCUUCGAGUCUUCUUGUGUGUUCAUCAAGGAGUCGAGUGUCUUGUGCGUACAUCAAGGUGCUCUGGUGAAGUCAAGGUGUUAGAGAUAACUUGAAGUAUCAGCUCGCAGUGAGUGCAGGUAGUUGAUAGGUUUGUAAAUCUCUUUCGUCUAGUGGAUUAUUUGUUGUCACCAAAGGCAACCGUGGACGUUUCCCAAAUUGGGUUUUACCACGUUAAAAAUUCCUGCGUGUUAUUUACUUUCUGCUUAUCGUUUGAUUUGUUUUGAAUAUUAAACUGUGAGAUUAGCACUAUCUGUGUUUUUCAAUGACAACCCCAAUGAAUCCCUUGAAGAGAUCUCGAUAUCAUCUCCUUUGGUUCCCCAUAAAAUUCCUUUAACUCCCUUCCUAAACCCAGCACAUCUCUCACAAAUUGUAGAUCCCUAUUAUAAGAACAAAGACGAAUGAGAUCCACAGCCAGUCAACGGCGCCGGACUGGCCGUGGUCAACGGUGGUUUUCUCUCUGGUUCUCUCUGAUAUCAAUGGUUCUCUCUGAUAUCAAUUGAUCUCAAAGAUAUGACUGGCAAUGUUUUUAAAAUUCAGCAAUGACCGAUACUGAAUUGUAGAAUUGUGAACGGUGAAUUCCAUGGAAUUGUAGCAAUGAGGAUAUUGAAAUGUUCUAGGGGAACGGUGAGUUCCCUGAAUUGUAGUUGUCUGUGCACCACUAAUUUCCCGAAUAACGUUCCCAUUGUCCUAUCAAUAUAAUGCAAGAUUAAUGGAGUUACUGCAGCUGCAGUUAUAGUGAUGGG